AUGCUCGCUUCAGCAGCACGUAUACUAAAAUUGGAACGAUACAGAGAAGAUUAGCAUGGCCCCUGUGUAAGGAUGACACGUAAAUUCGUGAAGUGUUCCAUAAUUUU
RNAcentral lists this small nuclear RNA (107 nucleotides) under Octodon degus (degu). The record is from RNAcentral. Lineage: Eukaryota; Metazoa; Chordata; Mammalia; Rodentia; Octodontidae.